GUGCAGCUACCAAUGUCCGCCACGUGCGAGUGCAGCGGUGGCCGCACAUCCUUCUGUUAACCUUCCUGGUAUUCGUUUACUGGGUUGGAGCUCAGAUAUUUUACCUUGAGAAAAUUAGAGUGUUUCAGGCAGGCUUGCGCCCGAAUACAUUAGCAUGGAAUAAUAGAAUAGGACUCUUGUCUCCUUUGUUGGUUUGAGGGACUAGAGUA
RNAcentral lists this ribosomal RNA (209 nucleotides) under uncultured fungus. RNAcentral's name for it is "partial small subunit ribosomal RNA". The stretch from base 85 to 209 matches the Rfam family "Eukaryotic small subunit ribosomal RNA", at positions 736 to 864 of the family's 1831-position model. The record is from RNAcentral. Lineage: Eukaryota; Fungi.